This 466-nucleotide ribosomal RNA is filed under the name Archaeosynthemis leachii. RNAcentral describes it as "eukaryotic LSU rRNA". The record is from RNAcentral. Lineage: Eukaryota; Metazoa; Arthropoda; Insecta; Odonata; Synthemistidae.
UUGAGUUCAAGAAGUACGUGAAACCGUCUGGGAGUAAACGGGUGGUUCCCGAAAGUACGAAAGGGGAGAUUCAGGUCUCGCUGCGCGUCGGGCGGCGCCCGCGAUCAGAGAUGGCGUUCUCGCGGCCGGGGGGCGACCCUCGGUCCGGGAGGGCGACCCUCGGUCCGGGAGCUCCACUCCGCGGGCGCCGUAUUAGUUCCCGACGCCGGAGUGACGCACUUCUCCCCCAGUAGAACGUCGCGACCCGUCGGGCGCCGGCCUAAGGUCCCGGGUGGAGUCUGUCUCGCUGCGCACGACCCCGGGGAUCCCGGCCGGGUGCUCGACGGUACGAAGAGAGGAAGGAGUCGACGCGCCGCUCGUUCGGCGUCCGGCCCUCCGCAAGCGCCCGCGGGAGUCCGAGACUCCGGGCCCGGCCCGGUCUCGCUCCCUCCGCGGGGCUGUUUGCGAUCAGGAGGUGUCCUCGGAC